This 253-nucleotide ribosomal RNA is filed under the name uncultured bacterium. Its description in RNAcentral is "partial 16S ribosomal RNA". It matches the Rfam family "Bacterial small subunit ribosomal RNA", at positions 524 to 776 of the family's 1533-position model. The record is from RNAcentral.
UACGUAGGGUGCGAGCGUUGUCCGGAAUUAUUGGGCGUAAAGGGCUCGUAGGCGGUCUGUCGCGUCGGGAGUGAAAACUCAGGGCUUAACCCUGAGCCUGCUUCCGAUACGGGCAGACUAGAGGUAUGCAGGGGAGAACGGAAUUCCUGGUGUAGCGGUGGAAUGCGCAGAUAUCAGGAGGAACACCGGUGGCGAAGGCGGUUCUCUGGGCCGAUACUGACGCUGAGGAGCGAAAGCGUGGGGAGCGAACAGG